This 324-nucleotide ribosomal RNA is filed under the name uncultured eukaryote. Its description in RNAcentral is "partial 18S ribosomal RNA". It matches the Rfam family "Eukaryotic small subunit ribosomal RNA", at positions 1470 to 1796 of the family's 1831-position model. The record is from RNAcentral.
CCCUUAGAUGUCCUGGGCUGCACGCGCGCUACACUGAUGUGUCCAGUAAGCACCUCACCUCUUCCGAAAGGAACGGGUAACCUUUGCAAAGCACAUCGUGAUGGGGAUAGAUUAUUGCAAUUAUUAGUCUUGAACGAGGAAUUCCUAGUAAGCACAAGUCAUCAGCUUGUGUUGAUUACGUCCCUGCCCUUUGUACACACCGCCCGUCGCUCCUACCGAUUGAAUGUUCCGGUGAGCUCUUCGGACUGCGCGGUCUGCAGUUUCUGCGUUCCGUGCGGAAAGUUGCGCAAACCUUAACAUUUAGAGGAAGGAGAAGUCGUAACA